RNAcentral lists this transfer RNA (72 nucleotides) under Crassvirales sp. RNAcentral's name for it is "tRNA-Arg". It matches the Rfam family "tRNA". Rfam says of the family: Transfer RNA (tRNA) molecules are approximately 80 nucleotides in length. The record is from RNAcentral. Lineage: Duplodnaviria; Heunggongvirae; Uroviricota; Caudoviricetes; Crassvirales.
GCCCCCUUAGUAUAAUGGAUAAUGCAAGGGUCUUCUAAGCCUUUAAUGGGGGUUCAAUUCCCUCAGGGGGUA